CCUACGGGAGGCAGCAGUGGGGAAUAUUGCACAAUGGGCGCAAGCCUGAUGCAGCCAUGCCGCGUGUAUGAAGAAGGCCUUAGGGUUGUAAAGUACUUUCAGCGGGGAGGAAGGUGAUAAGGUUAAUACCCUUAUCAAUUGACGUUACCCGCAGAAGAAGCACCGGCUAACUCCGUGCCAGCAGCCGCGGUAAUACGGAGGGUGCAAGCGUUAAUCGGAAUUACUGGGCGUAAAGCGCACGCAGGCGGUCAAUUAAGUCAGAUGUGAAAGCCCCGAGCUUAACUUGGGAAUUGCAUCUGAAACUGGUUGGCUAGAGUCUUGUAGAGGGGGGUAGAAUUCCAUGUGUAGCGGUGAAAUGCGUAGAGAUGUGGAGGAACACCAGUGGCGAAGGCGGCCUGCUGGGCUUUUACUGACGCUGAGGCUCGAAAGUGUGGGGAGCAAACAGGAUUAGAUACCCCAGUAGUC
RNAcentral lists this ribosomal RNA (465 nucleotides) under uncultured bacterium. RNAcentral describes it as "partial 16S ribosomal RNA". It matches the Rfam family "Bacterial small subunit ribosomal RNA", at positions 338 to 795 of the family's 1533-position model. The record is from RNAcentral.